RNAcentral lists this ribosomal RNA (443 nucleotides) under uncultured bacterium. RNAcentral's name for it is "partial 16S ribosomal RNA". It matches the Rfam family "Bacterial small subunit ribosomal RNA", at positions 338 to 795 of the family's 1533-position model. The record is from RNAcentral.
CCUACGGGAGGCAGCAGUGGGGAAUAUUGGGCAAUGGGCGCAAGCCUGACCCAGCAACGCCGCGUGAAGGAAGAAGGCUUUCGGGUUGUAAACUUCUUUUCUCAGGGACGAAGAAAGUGACGGUACCUGAGGAAUAAGCCACGGCUAACUACGUGCCAGCAGCGGCGGUAAUACGUAGGUGGCAAGCGUUAUCCGGAUUUAUUGGGUGUAAAGGGCGUGUAGGCGGGAGCGCAAGUCAGAUGUGAAAACUCAGGGCUCAACCCUGAGCCUGCAUUUGAAACUGUGUUUCUUGAGUGCUGGGGAGGCGAGCGGAAUUCCGGGUGUAGCGGUGAAAUGCGUAGAUAUACGGAGGAACACCAGUGGCGAAGGCGGAUUGCUGGACAGUAACUGACGCUGAGGCGCGAAAGCGUGGGGAGCAAACAGGAUUAGAUACCCUGGUAGUC